RNA transcript from Mus musculus (house mouse), 3359 nucleotides. It is a transcript of the gene named FAST kinase domains 1, with no coding region annotated. Lineage: Eukaryota; Metazoa; Chordata; Mammalia; Rodentia; Muridae. The record is from RefSeq and is marked provisional. The transcript is spliced from 13 exons.
UCGCUGUGCCUUCUGGGAGCUGUAGUGCGACCUUCCUUGGUGCACGCCGCCCUGGGACCGCUUUUCUUCUGCUCUGGGACACGGUCUGUAUCCGGGAGAAGUUUCCCCAGGAAAGGCUAAAUACACUUGGACGCUACUGGUGAGCGAGAGACGCCAGCUUCCAGCUGCUACUGCCAGGCUUUGGAUGAUCCCUGCUUUCUGAGGCGUCCAGAGCAACCCCGUAGGGCCUUGCGGGGCGUGGGAAGGAUUCGCCGGUUGGUCAGUGGCUCUGCCUUCCGUACCCCGCAGGGUUCCGCCCGGGACGCGCGGGUUUAGCUUAGCGGCUGCGGUCUCCGUACCUGUUUGGGUUCUCCGUGGCGCAGAGCACCGUUGCCAUCUGGGCAGGUGGAGGUUAAUUUUCCUGCCUGCCAGGUGCUCGGAAUACCUGUCAUCUGUGGACCAUGGGGCUGUGCGACACUCAAAACCAGCUCUCUGCACUUCCAACUGUGUCACACUCCCAAGGCGUCUCCUUUAGUUAAAUGGUUUCCCCAAGGUCACCUUUUUGUAAUCGCCAUAGUUUGGGCUACAGGAUGAGACACUAUCUCCACAAACAAGGAAGCCAAUACUCUUAAAAACAAACAAAACAAACAAACCUUUCUUGAUUUUGUUUCCUAAUGCUGCUUUGUGGUCAGAAUUGAGAAGAAACAUUUUAAAAUUAGGUGCAGGAAGAGAUCCCCUUUCCGCCCCCCCCCCCCCAUGUUUAAUUUUGGAUCAAAUUCAGCUGGUUCAGACCAAGAACAAAGUCUAUAGUCCAAAGAAAAAGAAAAAUCCUCCUUACUUGACAUUUGAAUUUGGGAGAUCAAUUUGAUAAUAAUGAGAUAAGAGUAACCAAGGUUAACCAGUUGUUUUACAGAUUCUUUUGGAAUGGAUUUAGAGCCGACAGGAUGCAAAUAAAGCACGUGAAUGAAAGCCAGAUUUUAUAUUGUCACAUUAUACCUGACUUCUAGUGUAGAUGCUUUUUUUUUUUAACCAAAGAAAAAAUUGUGCUAAGGAAAAGAAACCUCUAUUUUGGAGCCCCGUCCGUUAUAAAUAUGUUCCGGCUACGAAGCAUCUCUUUACUCUCUUGGAGAGCAUUUCCGCUCCGCCCCUUCAGUUGUGAGUCAUUAAUUACUCAGAUGCAGAAGUGUACAAACGAAGAACAAGUGUUUGACCUUAUUGAGACGAAUACGGCAACGCUCUCCGAACAGCAAGUGGGCUGUGCGUUUAAUGUACUUUGGCAGUUUCAGAAGCAGAAGACCGUCUUGGAAAAAAACGUUGACCAUGUUAGAAACCAUCCUCAGUUUCUUACUCUUUGCAGCAUUACAACAAAUCACAUCCCAGCAAUGAGUGAUGCUACCCUGGUGGAUGUGUUAUACAGCAUAAAGCAGUUUGCAGUUGAAUCCCAUCACCCACUAAUCGAAGCACUGGUUACAGAAGCAUGGAAAAGACUGGAAAGGUUCGAUACUAAUGUGCUGUCCAUAUUUUCCACUUGCUUGGCCGAUCAGCAUCUGUAUUUCAGUCCAUUAAUGGGAAAAAUAGCUGAUAUUGUAAAUAGGAGACUGGAAACCAUCCAGGACUUAAGGGCCUUAUCUGUCUUAAUGGUCAGCAUUUCUUCAUUAAUAUCACCGUGUUUCCAGGAACGACUGGUGAUCAGAACAGAACUUCUUUUUGACACUGUAAAUUCUUCCAAAGUCAACAUUGCAAGAAGGAUAUUACUGUUUCUUCGAAAUGUCAAAUACAGUCAUUACCCACUGUUAGAGAGGUGUAAUCAAGUGUUUAUAAGGAACAUGAGCCAUCUUGAUCUGGAGUCCAUCAGUAAAAUCCUUAACCUGUAUCAGUUUCUACAGUUCCACAGCUUUGAAUUUGUUGAAGCAGCUCGAGGGAGGCUGGCUGAGAUGACCCUCCCUUCUGAUCAUCCUGAAAGCUUUGUCCGGUUGUUUGCCGCUCUGGGGCCGGUGGCCAGACCUGAGAUAAAGAAACAGCUUAAAUCAACUAUACUACUGCUGUCAGAGGAGCUGAGCAGCCAGCAAGCGCUGAUCGUGUUGGGAGCAAUGGAAGAUAUGGAAAGCAGAAAUUCACACUUGCUUAAAAAGAUUGUUUCUGUUCUGUACAAACAUUUGGAUAACUAUAAAUCGAUAGAGCUAUUGAAGAUAAUACAAGCAUUGACUUUUCUACAUUUUCAAAGUAAGGAGCUUUUUAUGAAACUCAGAGAAUUACUUCUCAGUCGUUUGGAAGCUAGUGUCAUACCCAGUGAGAUUUCUGUUCUGGUCUCUGCUCUGUCCAUGCUUCCACAUCCGCACCUCAGUGAAACAGCGGUCUCCCGGAUUGAAGCAGUUCUACCACAGUGUGACUUCAGGGAACUGAAUGACUUGGUAGUAUAUCUCAUGCGCUGGAUUCAGAGUGAUCUCGUCUGCCUGGCUAGUACUACUGGAAAGCAACUGGACCUCCUUCAAAAACUAGAUCAACUGGGCCGUCACCGGCUGCAACAGAGCACCAACUUGGAUCUUCUGUGGGAGGAGCUCAAGUCUUUGAAGGGAGAAUGGCUUCACGAAUCCUUAGUUGAAGAAUCCAUCGCUGCUUUACUGCGUUUCAUGGAUGAAAUAGAUUACAGCAAUAUUGCCAAGGUCGCGUCUUUUCUUUCCAGAACUAACUACCUCAACACUCUGCUGCUGGAUAGGAUCGCUUCAGUGGCCAUUCAGCAGGUUGAAAAGCAUUCUGAACUAUGAUCCACCUCAAAAGGAUGAAUUCUUUGGAGCGUGUGUCCAAUGCUGUAAUUCUUACUUAGGUACAUUGGAUCCUGGUACAUUAGUGUUUCUUGGUUUUUCUUUGGCCGUACUUGAAUAUUUUCCAGAAGAUCUGCUAAAGAAAAUGUUUAACAUCGAGUUCCUUGCCAGAUUAGAUUCCCAGCUUGAAAUUUUACCUUCAAGUCUGAGUGCAAGGAUCCAGUUCCGCCUCAUGGAGUUAAAUAGAGCAGUCUGCUUGGAGUGCCCCGAGCUGCAGGUUCCAUGGUUUCAUGACCGCUUUUGUCAGCGACAGUUUAACAAAGACACUGGUGUUAUGAACGGAGCCCAACAACAGAUCUAUAAAAUGUUAGCAGAGGUCCUGGGAGGACACCAAUGUGUGAAGCCUUCCGCUCUUUCACCGUAUUACCACACAGUGGGUUUUGAAUGCAUUUUGGAUAAACGAAAAAAACCUCUGCCUUAUGAAAGCCAUAGCAUAGCUCCCAGAAAAUCCCUGGGCAUGCACUGGGAUUCAAGAGUUGAGCCAAGGCUUCCACCAGAAGCUGAGAGGAUUGCUAUAGAACUUUUGGAUGUAAGAGCCUUUUGUUCAAACAUUCCUCA